UACGUAGGCAGCAAGCGUUGUUCGGAAUUACUGGGCGUAAAGAGUGUGUAGGCGGUGCUCUAAGUUUGGUGUGAAAUCUCCCGGCUCAACUGGGAGGGUGCGCCGAAAACUGGAAUGCUUGAACGUGGGAGAGGAAAGCGGAAUUCCUGGUGUAGCGGUGAAAUGCGUAGAUAUCGGAAGGAACACCAGUGGCGAAAGCGGCUUCCUGGUCCGACACCGACGUUCAGGCACGAAAGCGUGGGGAGCAAACAGG
This 253-nucleotide ribosomal RNA is filed under the name uncultured bacterium. RNAcentral describes it as "partial 16S ribosomal RNA". It matches the Rfam family "Bacterial small subunit ribosomal RNA", at positions 524 to 776 of the family's 1533-position model. The record is from RNAcentral.